This 387-nucleotide transfer-messenger RNA is filed under the name Actinomycetota bacterium. It matches the Rfam family "transfer-messenger RNA". From Rfam's summary of the family: Bacterial tmRNA, also known as 10Sa RNA or SsrA, is named for its dual tRNA and mRNA-like properties. Its role is to liberate the mRNA from a stalled ribosome. The record is from RNAcentral. Lineage: Bacteria; Bacillati; Actinomycetota.
GGGGGUGAACGGUUUCGACUCCGAUCGUCGAUCGAGGGGAAGCGUGUCGAGGAACGCGACGAUGAUCUCGUUAACCACUACGUCGCAAACAAUAAAUGCGGACAACAGUCCCGCUGCCGCCAAGAGCGAUCUCGCUCUUGCUGCCUGAUCUAGUCAGGUAGAGGCUGUCGGACCGGGGGCGUCCCCGCCCCGGAUCCCGGCAUCAUCUAGGGGACUCACCGUGCGGCCCGGCCACGGGACCGUACGGGACACCGCACAGUGGCUGGGGUCGUCACACCGGCUGGUCUGCAUGACCGGUGGACCCGAGUAGAGGCACAGCAGACUGCACACGGAGAAGCCCUCGUGAACCGACGGAGGACCCGGGUUCGAUUCCCGGCACCUCCACCG